RNAcentral lists this unclassified non-coding RNA (271 nucleotides) under uncultured fungus. RNAcentral describes it as "partial contains small subunit ribosomal RNA, internal transcribed spacer 1, and 5.8S ribosomal RNA". The stretch from base 1 to 73 matches the Rfam family "Eukaryotic small subunit ribosomal RNA", at positions 1759 to 1831 of the family's 1831-position model. The record is from RNAcentral. Lineage: Eukaryota; Fungi.
CCAAACUUGGUCAUUUAGAGGAAGUAAAAGUCGUAACAAGGUCUCCGUAGGUGAACCUGCGGAGGGAUCAUUACCAGAAAUGGGCCCCUCGGCCUCAUUUCCAACCCUUUGUAGACCUAAACCUUUUUUGCCUCGGGGGUGGAGCGUCCGUCGCCGGCCGCCGCCCCCGGAGGACCAACCAACGCUGUCUUUUUACGUCGGAGUAUCGAUUAAAUGAAUAAAAACUUUCAACAACGGAUCUCUUGGUUCUGGCAUCGAUGAAGAACGCAGC